UACGGAGGUGGCAAGCGUUGCUCGGAAUCACUGGGCGUAAAGGGCGCGUAGGCGGGGAGGUAAGUCGGGUGUGAAAUCCCUCGGCCCAACCGAGGAACUGCGCCCGAGACUGCUUCUCUUGAGUCCCGGAGAGGAAGAUGGAAUUCCCGGUGUAGCGGUGAAAUGUGUAGAGAUCGGGAGGAACACCGGUGGCGAAGGCGGUCUUCUGGACGGUGACUGACGCUGAGGCGCGAAAGCCAGGGGAGCAAACGGG
Molecule: ribosomal RNA, 253 nt
Filed under: uncultured bacterium
Lineage: Bacteria
Description: partial 16S ribosomal RNA
Rfam family: Bacterial small subunit ribosomal RNA
Source: RNAcentral